Molecule: long non-coding RNA, 275 nt
Filed under: Lathyrus oleraceus (garden pea)
Lineage: Eukaryota; Viridiplantae; Streptophyta; Magnoliopsida; Fabales; Fabaceae
Description: Pisum sativum (pea) long non-coding RNA (PSAT_LNC009493)
Source: RNAcentral
UUACACGCUCGACGGUAUUGCCAUCGUGCUUGCUAUAGAAGGCAUUACUUUGGUCACAUUUGUUGUGGCCAUAUUCUCUCCUAUCGAAUGAGGAGGUUGUUCUUGAUUGUUAUUUGGUGGAUUAAACAUCUUUCUAACAUAUUUCCUUUUUGGUUUCUUCUUCAUCAUCUCACGUUAUUGUUGUAGAAAAUAGAAAAAACAAAAAAAACUUCAAUCUCCCUUGUGCUCAUAGAAAAAUAAAAAAAAUAUAAUAAUAAAACUCUCUAAAAUCAAAC